AAUGUCGUUUAAAUAAAUUCGUUAUAUAUCCAGGUAUAAUCCAAUAAUUCACCAUUACUCGAUAUUCAUCGAAUUAAUGAAAAUCCAUCGUUACUCGAUAAUUCAUUGGACAAUAUGGCGAGGUGGAUCGAAAAAAAAGAAAAAGAAAAAAAAAAGAAGCUUUCAAGAAUUCACUGUACAUCGAUUACCAUGGAAAAACUAAGAAACUUUCCGAUUAAAUCUCUAAAAUAUUAUUCGUAAUCGAGUAUCGUGAUAAUGGUUGAAGAUCGUAUAAAAGAUAUACGUUUAACUGCAGUGUCGCUAUGCGUUGAUUCAGAAAAUUUUCAAGUUUAUUCGUAGGUUGGCCUCGCCGUAACGCAAAGAAGAGAAGGAAAAUAUUCCCCUCGUGUGGAUCUUCCUCGUUCAAAAGCAACCUGACUGACAGUGGCUUAUCGAGAUGAAAAUAUCUCUACGCGAAUGAUUAAAA
This is a long non-coding RNA of Vespula pensylvanica (western yellowjacket), 466 nucleotides long. RefSeq lists it as uncharacterized. Lineage: Eukaryota; Metazoa; Arthropoda; Insecta; Hymenoptera; Vespidae. The record is from RefSeq and is a predicted model, not a curated record. The transcript is spliced from 2 exons.